RNAcentral lists this ribosomal RNA (3363 nucleotides) under Triticum aestivum (bread wheat). RNAcentral describes it as "partial small subunit ribosomal RNA". Lineage: Eukaryota; Viridiplantae; Streptophyta; Magnoliopsida; Poales; Poaceae. The record is from RNAcentral.
AUGGAAACCUUGUUCUACAUGUGCCUGCUGCAGGUGUUGUGCCUUCUUCUCUUGCAAGAAGCACAGGCGGCGCGCCAUGGUGGGAUCUCAUUGAGGUCUCAACACAUGGCCCUCCUCCACUGGAAAGCUACAAUUCCAAGUCCACCGCUGCAGAUGAGCUCUUGGAAGGAAAACACCAGCCCCUGCAACUGGACGGGCAUCAUGUGCACGGCUGUUCACCAUGGACACCGCAUGCCCUGGGUGGUGACCAACAUCUCCCUGCCAGAUGCUGGCAUCCGUGCCCAGCUUGGUGAGCUCAACUUCUCGGCUCUUCCAUUCCUCACACAUAUUGAUCUCCAUAACAACAGUCUCCAGGGUGAACUACCCACUAGUAUCAGUUCCCCGUCAGCACUUUCAGGACUUGACCUUACCUACAACCAGCUCACAGGGAAAAUUCCUUAUGAGAUUGGUAGCCUGCAAAGUCUCAAGGUGCUUAGCCUCUCAUUUAACAAAUUCACAGGACAUAUCCCCGUGUCUCUGGGUAACCUAACAAUAUUAACCGAUCUUGUCAUCCACCAAAACAUGCUAUCAGGUCCUAUUCCUGAGGAGAUUGGAAGGCUUGUUAACCUAGAACUUCUACAGCUAAGCAACAACACCUUAAGAGGCACAAUACCAAAAUUCUUUGGAAAUCUUACCCAAUUGAAUAUUUUGAACCUGUUUGGUAAUCAACUUUCAGGGCCUAUACCCCAAGAGCUAGGCAUGCUAGUCCAUCUGCAAAGUUUUGAUCUUAGUUCAAAUGAUUUUUCAGGUUCAAUUCCGAUCUCCAUAACCAAUCUCACUAAAAUGAACCGACUUUUUAUCUUUGAAAAUCAAAUCACAGGUCCAAUACCCCCAGAGCUAGGCAACCUUGCUAUGCUAAACGAACUUGCUCUCUACACAAAUCAAAUAACAGGUUCAGUACCCCCAGAACUAGGGAACCUCACUAUGCUCAAUGUACUUGUUCUCUAUGAAAAUCAAAUCACAGGCCCAAUACCUUUAGAAUUGGGCUACUUGCUGAAUCUCCAAAAUUUAGAAUUGGAUAACAACCAAAUAUAUGGCUCUAUUCCUGGCACCUUAGGAAAUAAAACCAAGCUAGUACAACUUACCAUCUCUACAAAUCAGAUAAGCGGGUCCAUCCCCCAGGAAAUUGGCAAUCUGAUGAACCUCGAAUAUUUAGACUUGUCUCAGAACCAAAUUUCAGGAUCAAUACCAAAAACUUUUGGGAACUUGCAAAGCAUCCAAGGAAUACGUAUCUUUGAUAACAAAUUAUCAGGUUCUCUUCCUAAAGAAUUUGGAAAUCUCAUCAGCCUUGUUGAACUUUCGUUGUCUAGCAACUCACUUUCAGGACCUUUACCCACAAAUAUAUGUUCAGGUGGCAAACUUCAAUAUCUCCGUGUCUUUUCUAAUAUGUUCAAUGGAUUUAUUCCAAGCAGUUUAAAGACAUGUACGAGUUUGGUUCGACUUCGCCUUGAGUCGAACCAACUAACAGGAGAUCUGUCUCAGCAUUUUGGUGUCUAUCCACAACUUGUACAGAUGCGGUUAGCAUCGAAUAGACUGUCUGGGCAGAUCUCACCAAAUCUAGGUGCAUGUACCCAGCUAACGGUACUAAAUCUAGCACAAAAUAAGAUCACAGGUUCCAUACCUCCAAUCCUUUCUAAAUUGUCCAACCUAGAAGAACUAACACUCGAUUCUAAUCAUCUGAGUGGUGAGAUUUCACCAGAAAUCUGCACUUUAGCAAACCUAUCUAGCCUGAACUUGUCAUCAAACCAAUUAUCUGGAUCCAUACCUACACACAUAAAAAAGCUACGCAAUCUUGCAUACCUUGAUAUAUCUGGGAACAGACUGAGUGGAUUGAUACCUGAGGAACUAGGGGCGUGCACAAAACUGCUAUCCUUGAAGAUCAACAACAACAACUUCAGUGGAAGUUUGCCCGGUGCCAUUGGAAACUUAGCAGGCUUGCAGAUCAUGUUAGAUGUGAGCAACAAUAGCCUCGGUGGUGUGUUGCCGCAGCAACUUGGAAAGUUGCAAAUGCUAGAAUUUCUGAAUUUAUCACAUAAUCAGUUCAGUGGCAGUAUUCCAUCCUCCUUUGCAAGCAUGGUGAGCCUUUCAACACUCGAUGUAUCCUACAACGACUUGGAAGGACCGGUCCCAACAACACGCCUACUCCAAAAUGCUUCAGCAAGUUGCUUUCUUUCCAAUAAAGGUCUGUGUGGUAACAUCUCUGGCCUGCCACCUUGUAAUUCAACCGCAGUAGCUGCUCACCAAAAAGGGAAGAUACUUGGUUUGUUUUUGCCACUUAUUCUUGUGCUUGGUUUUGGAACUGUUGUUGCGGCUGCUGUCAUAAUAAUACUUACUCAUAAGAAGAGAAAACCACAAGAAAGUAUUACUGCUCAAGCAAGGGACCUAUUCUCGGUUUGGAAUUUUGAUGGAAGAUUGGCAUUUGACGAUAUUGUAAGGGCAACGGAAGACUUCAAUGAUAAGUACAUCAUUGGAAGAGGAGGGUAUGGCAAAGUCUACAAGGCACAACUUCAAGACGGGCAGCUAGUUGCUGUGAAGAAGCUUCAUCAGACCGAAGAGGAGUUGGAUGACGAAAGAAGAUUUUGCAGUGAAAUGGAAAUCUUAUCACAAAUCAGACAACGAAGCAUUGUCAAAAUGUAUGGAUUCUGCUCCCAUCCAACAUAUAAAUUUCUUGUCUACGACUACAUUCAGCAGGGCAGCCUCCACAUGACAUUGGAAAAUCAAGAGCUAGCAAAGGAAUUAGAUUGGAAGAAGGGAAUUGCUCUUGCAACUGAUGUAGCUCAAGCAAUAUCUUAUUUGCACCACGAAUGCAGUCCGCCUAUAAUCCAUCGAGAUAUCACGAGCAACAACAUCUUACUUGAUACAACCUUCAAGGCUUUUGUCUCGGAUUUCGGCACGGCAAGGGUUCUUAGGCCUGAUUCAUCAAACUGGAGUGCACUAGCAGGAACGUAUGGCUACAUAGCUCCUGAGCUAUUAUACACAUCUGUUGUGACAGAGAAAUGUGACGUCUAUAGCUUUGGCGUGGUUGUGUUGGAGCUAGUCAUGGGGAAGCAUCCAAUGGAUCUAUUGGACGGUAGUUUACCAAGCGAGGAACAAACUAUAUUGGUGAAUGAUAUUCUGGACCAACGGCCGACAACACCAACAACAAUGGAAGAGAAUAGCUUAGCUCUGCUCAUCAAGCUGGCCUUCUCUUGCUUGGAAUCUUCUCCACAAGCAAGGCCAACCAUGCGGGAGGCAUACCACACACUCAUCCAGCGACCCUCUUCUAAUCCAUAUCCCGUGCCUUUCAGCGCACUUGCAUUAUGGCAAGUAAUGAAUGCGUGCUGA